This 460-nucleotide ribosomal RNA is filed under the name uncultured bacterium. Its description in RNAcentral is "partial 16S ribosomal RNA". It matches the Rfam family "Bacterial small subunit ribosomal RNA", at positions 334 to 795 of the family's 1533-position model. The record is from RNAcentral.
GACUACGCGAGGCUGCAGUGAGGAAUAUUGGUCAAUGGCCGAGAGGCUGAACCAGCCAAGUCGUGUGAGGGAAGACGGCCCUACGGGUUGUAAACCUCUUUUGUCGGGGAGCAAAGCGAACCACGUGUGGUUCAUUGAUAGUACCCGCAGAAAAAGCAUCGGCUAACUCCGUGCCAGCAGCCGCGGUAAUACGGAGGAUGCGAGCGUUAUCCGGAUUUAUUGGGUUUAAAGGGUGCGCAGGCGGAGGUGCAAGUCAGCGGUAAAAUUGAGAGGCUCAACCUCUUCGAGCCGUUGAAACUGGUGUUCUUGAGUGAGUGAGAAGUAUGCGGAAUGCGUGGUGUAGCGGUGAAAUGCAUAGAUAUCACGCAGAACUCCGAUUGCGAAGGCAGCAUACCGGCGCUCAACUGACGCUCAUGCACGAAAGUGUGGGUAUCGAACAGGAUUAGAUACCCUUGUAGUC